This is a non-coding RNA of Zootermopsis nevadensis, 3714 nucleotides long. NCBI's taxonomy places the organism in Eukaryota, Metazoa, Arthropoda, Insecta, Blattodea, Termopsidae. The record is from RefSeq and is a predicted model, not a curated record.
AGUUUGGUAAUCCGUUACAAAAUGGCUGUACUUGGUGUAGGAAGAUUUGUACGUUAUUUAUUGGUGUUACUUGGUGUAUUUACUGUUAUAAAUGUGUAGUUUGUACGUAUAAAGUCGGCAAGAAUUUAUCUUCUUCGACUAAUAUUGUAGGUAGGUAGUUUUGAUGCCGAAAUUACUGUAUAAAAUACGUGGAAAUACAACGUUUCGGAAUGUGUGAUUUGUCAUGGAAUAAUCUUAUUGAACUAUUUGAGUUACAACGAUGUUCCUUGAUAAUUCCAGGAUUGUUACAUUCUACAAAUAGCAGAAUAAGGAUCUGCAGCAGUGCUGAACUAGGCAUGGUAUUUGAGAGGCAGUCAGUUCACCAUUUUGUUUGAAGUGGUUCUUCAGCUACACCCUAGGAAUUGAAUUGUUAGGGCCAUGACAUUUAAGAGUGGCCUUAAGAGAUGAAAAUCUACCACCUGAGCCAGCUAACUCCACAUUCAGGUCCAGGUAUUCAACAGUAUUACAAUUGUCUAUAAGAGCCAGAGGCCUGAGUUCAUAUCUGAGCCCAGAAACCAGGUUUCUUGAUGGAUGUGUCAUGUACUUCCUCAGUCCAUCCAGUCAUCGGAGUGGCACACAGCGUCAUCUCCCCGACCAAAGAAAUCACGCCUCGUCCGAUCCAAGGAAAAAGUGAUGCUCAUGGCAUUCUUUGACAUCGACGGUGUGGUGCACCAUGAGUUCGUUGCAGAGGUUACGCGGAGGAAUCGGCGCGACAAGUGACAGGGUGAGUGGUUUCUGCAUUAUGAUAAUGCACUGAGCCACACAUCGCUGGUUGUGCAGCAAUUCCUCGCCGAGAAAAGCAUUCCCAUCAUCACCCAACCACCAUACUCUCUGGAUCUCGCUCCGAGUGACUUCUGGCUCUUCCCUGCUCUGAAAUGGGCCUCAAGGGGGCGAGUUUCGCAACCAUGGAGGACAUCAAAUCGAAUGUGACGGCCGAACUCAGGAAGAUUCCAAACGAAGCCUUCCGCCUUCCAACAAUAGCAGGAUCGAUGUAACAAGUGUGUGUGUGUGUGCGCGUGCGCAAGGGUCCUACUUUGAAGGUGAUUAGGUAAGCGUUACCAUAUGUCCUACCAUUACAGUGCUAUACUACAAUUCCGAGAACUUUUUGUCUGCCCCUCAUAUUUAUUUGUUGCUUAUUAUUGCAGUGUCUGCCAUCAUCUGUGACGAGUACCAAAAGUUAGUAGGUAAAUGUUCCAUGUAAAUGCAUUUUUUAAAAUGAUUUUAGUAGAAGCUUCAUUUGCAAUACUCCGUACUGUUCAUUUUAGAGCACUAGCUAAUUUUUCAUUUCAGCCCCACUAUAUGGGGUUUAUGCAAAGAAAUUCCCACAGUAUGUGCAGACAUAUUGUAUAUUUUUUUUGCUUAAAAGAUAUCAAUUAAAGGUAAUAGGAAACAAAAAUUUGCAUAUGCAACACACAAAUAUGUAGUCUGCAGCAGAAUUAUUGUUUAUUUUGAAAGCUCUGUUCCUCUAAAGUCAAACAUGUUGUGUUACAAAUGUCAGACAGAUGUCUCAAGCAGAUUUACCACAUUUUGUAGUUUUUAAAGUGUAUACUCUGAACAUGAAGCCAGCAUGCAAAAUAACAACAAAGAGGCAGACUCAUGAAGAUAUAGUGCAGUAUCUUAACGGCCAUACAAAAUAUAAUGUGUUCUUCCCCUAACACAAGACCAGGUGUCACACACGUACAACACGUACACGUUGAAACAAUUUUAGUUUCGUGUAUUUUGAACUCUACAUUUUCAGAUAGCAUAAGGAAGACUGAGUAAACAGUCCCUGAAUUUAGUCUGCUCUUAAUUUCCUUGUGAAUGGAAUUCUGGUUUUUCUACUGUUUCCAAAUAUUUGAACUUUGCCCCACUUUAAUUACCUUUGUAAUGUGUUAUAAUUUUUGACAGUGUCCAUAUGUCAUUGUACCGUUCCGUAUUUUCUUAUUUGACAAGUAUGAAGUAUACCAACAUGAAACUGCCAUAUGUAUUCAUUGACUGACUAAAAUUGUCUACUAUUGGUACCUUGAAAUUUAAUGUUCAUAAUAGCAGUGACUUUUUAAUUGCAUAUUAAAAGUUUUGGUGCAUAAAAUUCUUACAUUUUGUUGUGUUAAAUGUGUGACAUCUGGUUUUUCUAAAAAUAUCAUAUUAGCUUCCCUGGUUGUCAGUGGUUAGGUUCAGUCCAUAUUUGUGAUUUGUGUAAAUUAUAAACAGAAAAAAUAUUGUUUGUGUAUAGAUGAACUGAGAGUUUUUCACCUUCAAACUUUCACUGAAAGUAUAAUCAUGGGAAAGUCCUUGGUGUGUGAGACCAUUAUGGGCAACCCUCAGUGACCAUAAUAGAAGUCUUGGGCCACACCUUGCUGGAAACAUCUUUCUCAGUUUCAGUUCAGGAUAGUCAUUUAUCAUGCAGUUAGGCCCAUAGUCAGAUGCUUAUUCAAAGUUGUUUGCCAGUUACAGUACAAUAGUCCUUGUAAGAUCGGUCUGGAGUAACACACUUCUUCCCAAAAUGUUUAUACUUUCUGUGGUUCAUGUGAGUGGCAUUGUUAAAGUCAAUAGAUUGGGUAAUAUUGUUUAGCUUGUGGUAAGGUAGAACUGUGAUACUGUUAAACACACUAAAAUAACACAUAUGAAAUAGCAGGUAUGCAUCAUUUUGAAAUGACUCAAAAAUGCGAACGUAAGAAAUUUCAGUACAUGUAUUUGGUAUUAGAGACCUUGUAUCUUAGAACUGCAGAAUUCAGAUUAUAAGUGAAAAAUAUUUAGUAGUGGUUACAUAAAAUAAUUGUAAAAUUAUAACCUUAUAAUAUUGAUUCAAAUUAAUGACAAAGAUAUUUCAGGCAACUGUUUUUUAUAUCCAUCAUGUGGACUAUUUAAUUUUCUCUUCUUCUUUGUUUCACCAUAAAUCUCAUAUGUUCAAGAUAGGGACUGGUUGCAGGCUCUAAUGAACCCUUGGUUUAAGUAAACUGAGAAUUUUUUUAAAUAGGUCAUUGACUGUCAACAUCUUAAGAAAUAUUCUGCCCCUUGUAGUUACACAUCAGAAGUUUGUUGAAGCUAUUCAUUAAUAUGUAUUUUUUGGUGAAUUGAAAAUAUUGUUUGAAAUGUGAUGAAGUUCUGGAAUGCCUGCAUGUCACAUCAGGUAGCAAGAGGAAUAACCAAGCAGCAUCAUGUCUGUGGUUGUGUGUUGGUUAAACUAAUAAGGUAGUAGUGAAGCAGUGGCAAUUACGCAAGUGUGUCUUUUGUCUUGGCAGAUAAAGGAGUGAUAGUUUUUUGGAGCAGUGUAUUAUAUUUUAUGCAAAGUUAGGCAAAAGUGCAAGUGAAUCUCAGCAGAUGUUAACAGAUUGCAGUGCUGAUGCCAUGAAAAAGUUUAGUUUAAGUGGCAUAAAAUCAUAAGAGGGUCGGGAAGAUUCCAAAGACAAUGCAAGAACUGGGUGUCCAAAAACUCUGGACAGAUGAAAAUGUAGGAAAAGUGAGGAAAUUGGUUUGUUAUGACAGAUGAUUAAGUGUACAAAUUGUAGCAGAGCAACUAAAUUAGGAAGAGAAACUGUGAGGAAGGUUUUGACUGAAGAUUUGGGAAUGAGGAAAGUUUCAACAAAGGUGCCACGAAUUUUGUCUGAUAACCGGAAGUAGUCGCAGUGUGAGGUUCUGUUCUCUCUUGUCAGUUGGUGGAAGGAAACGGCUUUUUGGAUAGUUAUCAUGGGUUAU